Molecule: ribosomal RNA, 577 nt
Filed under: uncultured bacterium
Lineage: Bacteria
Description: bacterial SSU rRNA
Rfam family: Bacterial small subunit ribosomal RNA
Source: RNAcentral
ACGGGUGAGUAACACGUAGGCAACCUGCCCUCAAGCUUGGGACAACUACCGGAAACGGUAGCUAAUACCGAAUACUUGUUUCCUUCGCCUGAAGGAAACUGGAAAGACGGAGCAAUCUGUCACUUGAGGAUGGGCCUGCGGCGCAUUAGCUAGUUGGUGAGGUAACGGCUCACCAAGGCGACGAUGCGUAGCCGACCUGAGAGGGUGAUCGGCCACACUGGGACUGAGACACGGCCCAGACUCCUACGGGAGGCAGCAGUAGGGAAUCUUCCGCAAUGGGCGAAAGCCUGACGGAGCAAUGCCGCGUGAGUGAUGAAGGUUUUCGGAUCGUAAAGCUCUGUUGCCAGGGAAGAACGCUUAGGAGAGUAACUGCUCCUGAGGUGACGGUACCUGAGAAGAAAGCCCCGGCUAACUACGUGCCAGCAGGCGCGGUAAUACGUAGGGGGCAAGCGUUGUCCGGAAUUAUUGGGCGUAAAGCGCGCGCAGGCGGUCAUUUAAGUCUGGUGUUUAAUCCCGGGGCUCAACCCCGGAUCGCACUGGAAACUGGGUGACUUGAGUGCAGAAGAGGAGAGUGGAA